ACGGAAGGCAGCAGUGAGGAAUAUUGGUCAAUGGGCGGAAGCCUGAACCAGCCAAGUCGCGUGAAGGAUGAAGGUAUUAUGUAUUGUAAACUUCUUUAGUCGUAGAGAAAUAAGGUGCUCGUGAGCACUGAUGCUAGUAUACGAGGAAUAAGGAUCGGCUAACUCCGUGCCAGCAGCCGCGGUAAUACGGAGGAUCCGAGCGUUAUCCGGAUUUAUUGGGUUUAAAGGGUGCGCAGGCGGCUUUUUAAGUCAGUGGUCAAAUCGUGGGGCUCAACCCCAUCCCGCCAUUGAUACUGGAGAGCUUGAUUGCGGUCGAGGUUGGCGGAAUUCGUCGUGUAGCGGUGAGAUGCAUAGAUAUGACGAAGAACACCGAUUGCGUAGGCAGCUGACCAGGCCGUAAAUGACGCUCAUGCACGAAAGUGCGGGGAUCGAACAGGAUUAGAUACCCUGGUA
RNAcentral lists this ribosomal RNA (453 nucleotides) under uncultured Porphyromonadaceae bacterium. Its description in RNAcentral is "partial 16S ribosomal RNA". It matches the Rfam family "Bacterial small subunit ribosomal RNA", at positions 341 to 792 of the family's 1533-position model. The record is from RNAcentral. Lineage: Bacteria; Pseudomonadati; Bacteroidota; Bacteroidia; Bacteroidales; Porphyromonadaceae.